UAUGAUUGCAGAGUGACAGGUAAGAAAAGUAAUGCCUUAUACAAUGUAGGAAGCUCAAUUAGGAAUUCCUAGAAAAACUUUUUAAGAUGAGUGUUAACCACAGAAAUUAGGGGGCAUUGUGUGGGUCGUCUGGCUAAAUAAAUAAUGAGAAAUUUUUAGAGUUUGAUGCCUGUGUUGUAGAUGGCAAGGCAGGUGGUAGAAAAGUGGUAGGCUAAAGAGUCUGGAGUACUUUCAAUAUCCAGCAAUAAGUUUAGGUAUUAUUUUUUCCAAAACUAAAGAAAGCAUGGAACAUGCAUUUUAAGAUUCAUACAUACCUUGGCUAAAAACCAAUUCUACCACUUACUAGCUCAAAACAUCAAUUUCUUCUUUAUUUCAGUGGGUUGUUGUAAAGUACCUAGCAUAGGAUAUCCCUUAAAUAUUAGUACUCCUCCACCUCCCUAUCCUGAUUCUAAUCCUUCAGGGUAAAGUGAAAGGAAACCUAUUAAUUUCACCUUAAUGAAUGCCUUUUAGGUGUCAGGUGCUACUGAAAACAAGACAAAUAUAUCUUUGUAUCCAUUAUCUUCAAGUUAUUUACUUGAAGACUGGUGGGGAAGCCUGACAUAGAAGUGUUUGUAAGAUAGAUCCACCUUAUCAUCUGUUGUGCUAGAGUUAAGUAUUGGGUAUUGUGGGAGCCCAAAGAAGAGGCAUUCACAAGACCCUUCAGAAGCUCUUCCCGGUUACAUUGUUGUGGGAAAUUUCUAUACUGUCUCAUGCAAAAUCACAAAGUCCAUUCAGCAAGAUCUAAAUGUAUCACUCUAUCCUUAAUUGUUGAACAAAUUCAAAAGACCUUAGAAUAGAAAUCUAUACAUAAAACAUUAUUCUAAAAGGUUUUUGUUUUACGGAACUCUAAGGGAUAAAUGUGGUAUCCUGUUAUUCCUAUAAUUCUGUCGUGUUUACACCAGAAUUGUUGGACAGCACACACAAAAAAAGUUACUCUUUUUUUCUCACCAUUCAGGAAUCUAUUUGAACAUGGAUCAGUUUAUAUCGGACUUAAUGCUGCUCUCUGUGGUCUAAUAGCAAAUAGUCUUUUUCGACGCAUCUUAAACGUGACACAGGCUCGUAUAGCUGCUGGCUUACCAAUGGCAGUGAUCCCAUUUUUGACUGCGCAUGCAUCUUACAAAGGUUUUGUAAAUCUACCUUUGAAUACAGGUAAAUUCGAUUUCACUAUCACCAGAGUUUGCUUUGGUAUAUAUUAUUUGCACUUUACAUUAAUCCUUAAAUAUUAACACCAGGUUAAUAUGAUAUAUCUUAGUCGGUGCAUGGAUAAGACUGAAACUUGCUAGCCUGUGUAAAGUGGCAGUUCAUAUAACAAGUUAGUCUUCUAUGCAAGUGAAAUGCACACUCAUAGCAGUUAUAGUUUUCUUUAGCUAAGUUCUUUCCCACAAUACUUAAAGAAAUAUGUGUAAUUUUUUUUUAAAUGCUUCCUUAGUUUUCUUUUUUCUUUUUUAACAUUUAUUUAUUUUUGAGAUAGAGAGAGACAGAGCAUGAAUGGGGGAGGGUCAGAGAGAGAGGGAGACACAGAAUCUGAAACAGGCUCCAGGCUCUUAGCUGUCAGCACAGAGCCCGACUUGGGGCUCGAACUCACAGACCGUGAGAUCAUGACCUGAGCCGAAGUCAGACACUUAACCGACUGAGCCACCCAGGCACCCCACUGCCUUAGUUUUCAAAAAAAUUGUAUAGAGGAAAAAAGGGGGGGAAAAACUGAAGGGAAUAAGACCCUUUGUAGAUUAAAUCUCCCAAUGCACUAAAUGUAUAUACAAGAAUUACAAAUAUAUGGAGACUUCAUUUCCUUUUGAUUGUUUACCGUAUGUGCUGAGUGUUUUCAGUAUAAGCAUACCUUGGAAAUAUUGCAGGUUAGCCAGACUACUGCAAUAAAGUGAAUGUUUUAGCAAAGUCCAGAGAAUUUUUUGGUUUCCCAGUGCAUAUAAAAGUUAUGUUUACAAUACGCUAUAGUCUGUUUAAAGUGUACAAUAGCAUUAUGUCUAAAAAAACCAAUGCAUGUACCUUAAAAAUAUUGCUGUCAUUUAAGCUUUGAACGAGUGGUAAUCACUGGUUACAGAUCACCAUUCACCAUAACAAAUGUAACAAUAAUGAAAAAGUGUGAAAUGUUAUGAGAAUUACCAAAAUAUGACACAGAGACAUGAAGUGGGCAAAUGCUGCUGGGAAAAUGGUGCCUACAGACUUACGCAAAACAGAGUUGCCACAAACCUUCAAUUAAAAAAAAAAAAAUGCAUUACCUGCAAAGCAUGAUAAAAUGAAGCACAAUAAAACAAGGUAUGCCUGUAUGGCUAAUCAUGAAAAUUUUUUGACUGAUUUCAAAUAAAAAUAUUAUUACUGCAGGUGAUGGUCAGAUGGAAGGGAGAUAGUCCACUUAAAUUCUCUUAAGUGUUCCAAAUUGGUUUAAACUGGAUGAAUAUUUUGCAUGAAUCCCCAUGAUCACUGUGGAAAGAAUUUUUAAGAUCUAGGGAAACCUACCACCCAGUGAACCGAACAGACUAAAACUUAAAGUUAUUAAUUUAGCUUUCUGUUUUUAAAAUAGCUUAUACUAAUUUGGAAAUGAAUAAAGAAUUUUAUGAAAAUAGUCACGCUAUAUAAUAUAAAAACAGAAAAUGAAGUACAAAUCAUUUUUUAAAAAUGAGUUACAAGUUUCCUGAAGACAGAUUACCUCAGGUUUGCCAAUACAAGUGCAGAAAGCAGAAGCAGUGCAAACUGAGAUUAUUAUAUUCAAGUUCAAAACAAAUUAGAGUAUUUUUCCUAAGAUGGUUUCGUUAUUCAUGGCCAUUUUAGGUUAUCCAUACAUAUUAUACCUUCUAAUAUGCCUUGUAGAUUUGUAUUUGCUGCCUGAAAAUUGAGUUCUUUGUGACACAUUUAAGAUAAGCUUGCAUUUUUAAAAUCAUGUUUGCUUGACUAUCAUGACCAUUUUAGAACUGAUUUAUUUCCUAGGUGAUUUGAAUUGUGAAACCUGUACCAUAACACGGGGUGGACUGGUUGGUCUUGUUUUUGGUGGUCUGUACCCUGUUUUCUUGGCUAUACCUGUGAAUGGUGGCCUAGCAGCCAGGUAGGAUUCUUUUUUUUCCUCAUAAUCAUUGAAAAACUUCAAAAAUAUAUAAAUGACUACUUCUCAAGAAUUUGAAAACAGUUAUACCUCUUGGGUAUAUAGGUUCGUAACCUUAAUUUGUUUAUUGAAUGCCAGCUACAAAGCUGCAAACAUUACUCUGCCAAGCAUGAGAGCUUUCAUUAAAGAAAAAUUCCAUCACAAAAUGGCUAGCUAUAAGCCAAAUAUUGCAGUUAUUUUCUGAUGAAUUCAUAUCUAGCAAUAUAAGCUAUAUGAGCCUUCAAAGGUAAAGUGGAUAAAGGGUCAAAAAACCCAAAAGUAUGGUUUUAAAGACUAAUGAUAUCAAAGAGAAUAACCGAAUUACCUUAAUCUUUACCUAAACUAGUUUUAUCUUAAGACUUCUGGGAUUAAUAGAUAUUGUACCAUUUGAUACAACUGUCUUUUCUAGAGAAUUGCCUCAAUGUUUUCUUAUAGGUAUGAGUCAGCCCUGCUACCAGAAAAAGGAAACAUCUUAACUUACUGGACUAGAAUUUCUAAGCCUGUCUUUAGAAAGAUGUUAUUUCCCAUUUUGCUCCAGACCAUGUUUGCAGCAUACCUUGGAUCUAGACAAUAUAAAUUAGUUAUAAAGGCUCUUCAGUUACCUGAACCUGGCCUAGAAAUUCAGUGAUUGUUAAACAACUUUGUACACAAAAAUAAAACUGUAAUGUAUGAAUAAAUGUCUAGUGUAUGAAUAAACAUACAUUUGUUAAUUUAUCACAUGAGGUACAGUUCUGGGACUGAUAACAUUAAG
RNAcentral lists this long non-coding RNA (3884 nucleotides) under Lynx pardinus (Iberian lynx). The record is from RNAcentral. Lineage: Eukaryota; Metazoa; Chordata; Mammalia; Carnivora; Felidae.